RNAcentral lists this ribosomal RNA (1255 nucleotides) under uncultured organism. RNAcentral's name for it is "partial 16S ribosomal RNA". It matches the Rfam family "Bacterial small subunit ribosomal RNA". The record is from RNAcentral.
GAGUUUGAUCCUGGCUCAGAAUGAACGCUGGCGGCGUGCUUAACACAUGCAAGUCGAGCGAGAAAGCUCCUUCGGGAGUGAGUACAGCGGCGGACGGGUGAGUAAUACGUGAGAAUCUACCCUUUAGUGAAGAAUACCUCCGAGAAAUUGGAGUUAAUUCUGCAUAAGUCCCUUCGGGGAGAAAGAUGGCCUCUUUGCUGUCGCUAAAGGAUGAGCUUGCGCGCUAUUAGCUUGUUGGUGGGGUAAAGGCCUACCAAGGCAAUGAUGGCUAGCCGGCCUGAGAGGGUGUACGGCCACACUGGAACUUAGACACGGUCCAGACUCCUACGGGAGGCAGCAGUGGGGAAUAUUGCGCAAUGGGCGAAAGCCUGACGCAGCGACGCCGCGUGGGGGAUGAAGGCUUUAGAGUCGUAAACUCCUGUUAAGUGGGAAGAAAAGCGUAGUCUUAAUACGGCUAAGCAAUGACGGUACCAUUAGAGAAAGCACCGGCUAACUUCGUGCCAGCAGCCGCGGUAAUACGAGGGGUGCAAGCGUUAUUCGGAGUCAUUGGGCGUAAAGGGUGCGUAGACAGCAUGCUAAGUUACUUGGGAGUACGGUCGCAAGGCUAAAACUCAAAGGAAUUGACGGGGGCCCGCACAAGCGGUGGAACAUGUGGUUUAAUUCGAUAAUACGCGAGGAAUCUUACCUAGGCUUGACAUGCUUUUGACAGUUGUAGAAACACAAUCUUCUGGGUUUCGGUCCAGACAAUUGCACAGGUGCUGCAUGGCUGUCGUCAGCUCGUGUCGUGAGAUGUUGGGUUAAGUCCUUUAACGAGCGCAACCCCUGCCGUUAGUUGCUACUCACUUUGUGAGGCACUCUAGCGGGACUGCCUGGGAAACCAGGAGGAAGGUGGGGAUGACGUCAAGUCAUCAUGGUCCUUACGCCUAGGGCUACACACGUGUUACAAUGGCCAGUACAGAGGGGGGCGAAUCCGCAAGGAGGAGCAAAUCCCAAAAAGCUGGUCUAAGUUCGGAUUGGGGUCUGCAACUCGACCCCAUGAAGUUGAAAUCGCUAGUAAUCGCGCAUCAGCAACGGCGCGGUGAAUACGUUCUCGGGCCUUGUACACACCGCCCGUCACACCACGAAAGUUGUUUGUACCCGAAGUCAUCUUAGCUAACCCGUAAGGGAGGCGGGUGCCUAAGGUAUGGGUGGCGAUUGGGGUGAAGUCGUAACAAGGUAGCUGUAGGAGAACCUGCGGCUGGAUCACCUCCUUUCU